CUCCGCAUGGCCGCAGCCUAUCGCCGCCGUCGCUCCGGCCCUGCCCCCGGCCCGCCUCCCGCCGCGCCCGGCACCGCGGCCCCGGCCCAGCCUCAUUCAAACGGCAGCAGCGCCCGGCACCCGCCGGCUCCAGAGCUAAGGAAGAAUAGUUUUGCUUUUGGUAAAGUGUGCUAGUUGAAAACAUGUUGGCCACCAAGCUGUCCCGCCCUCUCUUGAACUUCUCUGUGAAAGCCCUGAAUAUCAAGGACCCAGGGAAUGGCUUCAGGCCCGUGCAGAGAUUUUCCUUCCCUCUCUUAUCCCCAUGUGGCAGCCGCUCUUAUGCAAAUGAAGUUGAUCAGAUUGGCAGCAGAGCUGUGCUUAUAACAGGCUGUGACUCAGGAUUUGGAUUUGCCUUGGCCAAGCACCUGCAUGACAAAGGUUUCAUUAUUUAUGCUGGCUGCCUGCAAAAGGACAAGGGAGAGGGUGGCUCCAAGGAGCUGGAUGCCAUGAAGAGUGACCGAAUGAGAACUGUCCAGCUCAAUGUCUGUGACAGCAAAGAAAUGGACCGGGCAGUGGAGCAUGUGCAGAGCAGCCUCGAGGACCCAGAGAAAGGGCUCUGGGGGCUGGUUAACAAUGCUGGGAUCUCCACUUUUGGGGAAGUUGAAUUCACCAGCAUGGACACCUACAUGGAGGUAGCUGAAGUGAACCUGUGGGGGACUGUGCGAACCACCAAGGCUUUCCUCCCGCUCAUCCGGAGGUCUAAGGGUCGCGUGGUGAACAUCAGCAGCAUGAUGGGGCGGAUGGGCAGCCCCGCCCGCUCACCCUACUGCAUCACCAAGUUCGGCGUGGAAGCCUUCUCCGACUGCCUGCGCUACGAGAUGCAGCCCCAGGGCGUCAUGGUCAGCAUCGUGGAGCCCGGCAACUUCAUCGCGGGCACCAACCUGUACAGCCCCGAGCGCAUCAAAGCCAUCGCCGACAAGAUGUGGGACGAGCUCCCCGAGAUCGUGCGCAAGGACUACGGCAGGAAGUACUUCGACGAGCAGGUCAGCAAGAUGGAGUCGUACUGCAACAGCGGCUCCAGGGACACGUCGCCGGUCAUCGAGAGCGUGGCGCACGCGCUCACCUCCACGACCCCCUACACCCGCUACCACCCCAUGGAUUACUACUGGUGGCUGCGCAUGCAGAUCAUGACCCACAUGCCCGCUGCCAUCGCAGACCGGCUCUACGUCUACUGAGGCCUCACGCUCAUAAGCUAUCCAGGAAAAACAUCCAGGCAUGCUAACUCCAUCCCAGAAAUGGAAAAAAUGCACCAGAAGUCCCAGCCCAGCUGAUAGCCAGAUCUCUGAGGAGGCAGCACACAUGAUACAGCCUGGCAUCUCCAGGGGAUGCCCACCAGGCUGAGCUCCUGCUCCUGGAAAGCACCACUCUGGCACUGUCUCCCUCCCAGCCAUGCAGAUGGGACUGCCAGGCUUGCUGAGAUCUUUGAAAAGUGCUUUUUGACAGGAGUCACUGUGAUUUGACACAGCAGAGAGAAAGGGAAUCCACCAGGAAUUACCCAGUGCCCCGUGGAUGUCUGUUAGACUGCACCUUCCAGAAGAUCUUGGAGCAUUAGCAGCCAGGCACUGAAUUUUAAUGGUUUAUAAAAAUUGUAAUUGCACUCUUCUAUACAUUAGGUACAUAUAUUUAAAUAAAACAUUCUAAAAAAUGAAAUAGAAGUCUCGUAUUUCUUAUAAUGCUCUAGUUCUUGAGGUUACUGGAAUUGUAAAACUCAGUCUUUUGUAGGAUUGUGAACUGUCCCAAACCCAAUAGAUAAAUGUUAUUAUGAGAGCAAAAGAAAGAAGAGUUUGCUGUAUACAAUUGUGGAAUACAAUCCCUAAUUGAACAAGAGCUCAAACAACAUCAGCACACACAAACUGUACAAUGAUGGGGAAAAAAUAAUCUUUUAGACAAAAAGAAGUCCAGUUUUCUCUUGCUCUCCCUGUAAACAGGAACACGUUCAUCUACUAGCCAUGCCCAGCUGGACUCUCUAAUGCUAAGAAUAAAGACAUGCUUGUGUUCUGAUGGAGAUUGAAUUAACCUAAGACAAGUUUCAGUUAUGAGGAUAAACUGGAUAUACUGCUCACAAAUGAAAAUUAUGAAGAUUGUAUUACUGGGGAAACUGACUUCUCUGUAUUAAAAAAAAAAGAUUAAAAUUAAAUAAGCAGAGAUGUGUAAGAGGAUCCCAUUAGAAUUCCAUUGAGUAGGCUUAAUUAAAUUUGCUGAACAGUGAUUUUUAAAAAUAAAACUUUGAUUUUAAGAACUGAAGAACAGAUCCUCCCCCAUGUAAUAGGCAGCAACUUAUUUUACCUUAUUUUAAUUUAUGAGAGUGAAGCUGAUAGACAAAAGUGAGCUGGUAUUUCAACUGUUAGCAGUACCUGUGACAGGCACGUGGCUCAUCAGGCUGUGUGACAGAGUGACUGCAGCCUGUAUUGCAAAGAGUAGCUUCAGUCUUUAGCAGCCUCAUGAAAAUUUUCCAUAUAUUAUAGCUUUUGUAGGGAAAUAAGGACACAUUACCAUUCCACGCUUUCAUUCAAGUAGAAUGCUUCUACAAGAAGUUGUUUGUAUCUCUUAUAACCCCCGAAAUUACAGAUGAUAAGGAAAAGGCGCUUUUCUGAAAAGACAGCUCCUGGAAGGUAAGGCUGUGGCACACGACCCAAACUUAUCAGACAUCAGAGAAUCCAGAUGAGUGGAGGCAUAAUGAGCAAGCUAACUUCACUCAGGCUUCAUUCCUUGUUAAGCAGGGGAAAUGAGGCUUCAUUGCUUCCCCAGUUAGCUGUGAAGCAUUGCACUGAGUUUGCAGGGAAGUGAAAGCUUUUCUGCAGCUGUCAGAGAUCCUUUCAUGAGCAUCAGCUCCCAGUUCUGAAUGAGUAAGGGAAAUCAUCUACUUUGUAUAGUGGCUGCUAGUAGUUUAUGGUGACUUUGGACACUAAACCUGACAAUUAAGAGAGCACCAAUUUUAUUGUUCUUGUGUUUUCUUUCUUUAGUAAGACCAACACUAAAAAGUCUUGAGUUUUCUUAUUAUUCUUCAACAGUCAGCAUUACUUUUUGCUAAAAUUAAUACUAUAAUUAUAGUAUUCUAGAAAUAUUCCACCUUAUACACCAGUGUCCAUCUUUAAUUAUGAACAGAUGUACCUGUAUUUAUUUAAUUCCACCUUCUGUUUUAAUGGAAUUUGUCUCAUCUUGUAACCACUGUAUUUUUUUGGCCAUACUAAUAACUGCAAAUUCUUGCCAUGUGAUGGUGUCUGCAGUCCUUUUUUUCUUGGUGUUCUUGUGUUGAUUGACAUUGUGUGUGAAUCUAGGGAAUGUUUUUUGAAGUCUCCUGUUCUGAGUUCAUUAUACCUCUGCAGUUACUCUGUGGGACAUCAUCUGCCACACAUCCACUGCCACUGCCAGUUUGAGAAGUCCACAUUGUCAGCUGGCUCCAGUGGGACUUUGGGGUUCACCAGGUAGCUGGCCUGAAGUCAAACCCCUCCACGUCCUGCUGCUCUGCCUGUGGCCAAAGUGUGACUGCCUCAAAACAUAAGAAGCUUGACAGCACUCUUCUUCCCUGUGGUGUGCCAGCUGGCCAGGUGAUGUUUCUAAAGCAGAAAGAGCCGUUUUCCAAGUGGCAGCUGGACUGCUUUGAGGAGGAGGAGCUGGUGUAGGAGCAGGUACAAAUUUGUGGCAGGGCUCGCUACUAUGAUCACUUGCCAGAGCAGGCAGCUGCCAACAAGUUCUGGCACAGUUUCCCAAAGUGGGAAAACAUUGUUUCUGUUUCACUACAGUUCAUGAAACUGGGGUUCUCGGGCUCUGACACAAGGCUGCUUUUUCCCCAUGUACAAAUGGCAUGGGCUAGGACCAGGGGGCUGUACAGAAGGUUUUCCCGGGAAAAAGCUUGUGCUGUGCUGGUCUCCCUGCUGCCUGGUCCUGUAUCACACAUCCCCCUGAGCACUACGUGUGCUGUAACAAGCUGCCUGCCCCUGCCAGAGACCAUCCCAGGCAGAACAUCCCAGAUACGCUCCUGGCAGCAGCUGCAAAAGGGAUUUUAAAGGGAAAUCUGAGGGCAGUGAGAAAAGGCCAUUGGUCACAUCCUCAGAUGCAUCUGAGGACUAAAGUGGCAAUGGGCUUCUGCCUUGUGUAACUGUCCUGGAGUUCCUAUGCCAAGGGUCAUUUUGGAGCACAGCCAGGGUGUGUUAAGCACAGCAUAAUGCUGACUUCUCUACUGACCACAUCAGUCACAAUUUAAGUACGAGCUUUUCUGUGUGCUGCCUGUAGUGGUUUGAUUUAAAUGACAUUGUUCAAGUUGUGGCACAACUGAUGCUCUGCUUCACACUCAGUUUUCCCUUCCUCCAAGGGAACUACACAAUUUCCUGAAAGCUGGAGCCUGAAAAAGAUGAUGUGCAACACAGGACAAUUUUGCAGCUAGUGGCUCUAGCUGCAAUGUUGCUAGUAAAAAAGUCAUUUGCCAUUCAUGGGAUAUUUUCUAUAUGUGCUGGAAUUUCAAGCCCACUUUUCAUACUGAAGUUUAAUUCUGUGCUUUCUGGUUCGACUGCUUUCAAUCAGCAAAUACACUCCUAGAACAGAAACAGAAGUGCCGGGAACCAACCUCGUUCUCUGAGGUACAAUAAAGCUCACCUAAUUGCUUCCUGACUUGCUGAUCCAUCAUCCUGACCCCCUCUUUGAUGUUGUCUUCUUUUUUUUUUUUUUUUUCCUAGAGCAUUAGUAACAAGUGAGAAAUGCUGUCUCAGGGUGUUAUAUAUGGGAUUAUUUCUCUAUCCCCAGCACAGUGACCGUAUGUAAUGGGAUUAUCUCUUAUUUAAAAUAAAAAAGACUUGGACACAUCA
Haemorhous mexicanus (house finch) is the source of this 4841-nucleotide RNA transcript. It is a transcript of the gene named 3-hydroxybutyrate dehydrogenase 1, with no coding region annotated. The transcript has 9 exons. The record is from RefSeq and is a predicted model, not a curated record. NCBI's taxonomy places the organism in Eukaryota, Metazoa, Chordata, Aves, Passeriformes, Fringillidae.